AAACCAACAGGGAUUGCCCUAGUAACGGCGAGUGAAGCGGCAACAGCUCAAAUUUGAAAUCUGGCCCUCGGGUCCGAGUUGUAAUUUGUAGAGGAUGCUUUUGGCGCGGUGCCUUCCGAGUUCCCUGGAACGGGACGCCUUAGAGGGUGAGAGCCCCGUACGGUUGGACACCAAGCCUCUGUAAAGCUCCUUCGACGAGUCGAGUAGCUUGGGAAUGCUGCUCUAAAUGGGAGGUAAAUUUCUUCUAAAGCUAAAUAUUGGCCAGAGACCGAUAGCGCACAAGUAGAGUGAUCGAAAGAUGAAAAGCACUUUGAAAAGAGGGUUAAACAGCACGUGAAAUUGUUGAAAGGGAAGCGUUUGCGACCAGACCUUUUCCUAGCGGAUCAUCCGGUGUUCUCACCGGUGCACUUCGCUAGGUCUAGGCCAGCAUCGGUUUCUGUAGGGGGAUAAAAGCUCUGGGAACGUAGCUCCUCCGGGAGUGUUAUAGCCCUCUGCAUAAUACCUUUACGGGGACCGAGGACCGCGCUUCGGCAAGGAUGCUGGCGUAAUGGUCGUCAACGAC
RNAcentral lists this ribosomal RNA (562 nucleotides) under Xylariaceae sp. BCC 18768. RNAcentral describes it as "eukaryotic LSU rRNA". It matches the Rfam family "Eukaryotic large subunit ribosomal RNA", at positions 62 to 648 of the family's 3401-position model. RNAcentral also lists the same sequence under 1 other name. The record is from RNAcentral. Lineage: Eukaryota; Fungi; Ascomycota; Sordariomycetes; Xylariales; Xylariaceae.